RNAcentral lists this long non-coding RNA (325 nucleotides) under Homo sapiens (human). Its description in RNAcentral is "non-protein coding lnc-TTK-3:1". The record is from RNAcentral. Lineage: Eukaryota; Metazoa; Chordata; Mammalia; Primates; Hominidae.
GAGAAGCUGAAGAUCCAAAUAGUACAAAGAUCCAAAUAUGUUUUAUGUAGCAUUCUUGGGAAUUUCUCUUUAGAAAGUUUUGGUGGGGUGGAGGGGGAAAAAAUGACACAAAUAUAAAUGGACUCGUCAAAUUUAUCAAAUUAUCAAAUUUGUUUAUCAAAUUAUUUUUAUAUUUUAUACUAUUAAUAUGCUUAUUAACAUGUUUGUACCUUCAUGUGUUAAUAAAUUUGCUCUUAUUUUGAGCCUAUUAACCAUUUUAAGCCUUUCACGUUGUCAUGUAAACCUUUACCUAAACUAGAAUCAUAAAAUUUUAGAUUUAGAAAUG